Molecule: non-coding RNA, 84 nt
Filed under: Halanaerobium salsuginis
Lineage: Bacteria; Bacillati; Bacillota; Clostridia; Halanaerobiales; Halanaerobiaceae
Description: c-di-GMP-I riboswitch aptamer
Rfam family: c-di-GMP-I riboswitch aptamer
About the family: GEMM was predicted in a large-scale screen for bacterial structured RNA regulatory elements. Genes associated with GEMM are involved in a diverse array of functions, including chemotaxis regulation, signal transduction, secretion and chitin.
Source: Rfam by way of RNAcentral
AUUUCAUAAAAGCAAAAUUAUUAAAAGAUAAUUACGCAAAGCAAGGGGUCUAAGGCUAAAUGCUAUGAUAGCCCGGCUGCCACC